RNAcentral lists this small nuclear RNA (112 nucleotides) under Mus pahari (shrew mouse). The record is from RNAcentral. Lineage: Eukaryota; Metazoa; Chordata; Mammalia; Rodentia; Muridae.
GUGUUCAGUAAUAUGUGGAGCACAUUAUACUAAAAUUGAAACAAUAUAGAGAAGAUUAGCAUGGCCCCUGUGCAAGGAUGACACAAACAUUUGUGAUAUGGUCCACAUUUCC